CGGAAGGGAAGGAUGGGGGACAGACGAACGAGGAAGAGAGAGAUGAGAAGGAAAAGGAGGGUUGAAGAAGGGGUAAGGGAGAGAGGGGGAUGGAUGGGGCGAGCAAUAUGAAGGAGAGGAGAGAGAGGGAGCCUCCGGUGAGGUGCGGGGUGGGAGAGCUAGGGAAGCGGUUGGGGUAAGGGUGGAGUGGGGAGACAAACCACAGGGAGUUGGGGAGGGGGGUUAACCCUUACUUUCUGUCUUAAUAGCUAGGCAAUCCGUCUUAAGGGACUUUCCCAGGGUCGCAACAGCUAGGAUGUGUCUGAGCCCAAAUUUGAACCCAGGUUGUCCCGACUCCAGAUCUAUUGCUCUGACCACUGGGAUACCUAGCUGCCCCCUUGGGGAGAUUUUUAUGGUGACUUGGGAUGACAGCAGCAGAGGGAACUCCCGGAGAGGAAACUCUUCACCAAUGCAAAUGACUGCUCUAUAGCUGGGAAUUCGUACUGCAGUCACCGCGCAGAGGCCCAGAGCCACCAAGUAUGUAUGUGUGUGUGUGUCUCAUGCCUAUCAAGCUAGCUAGCCCUGAUUCAUGAACCGGGGCCUCAAGUAUGGAACACCUGGCUUCAAGGGCCACCUCCCUGCCUUCCUCGGGCAAGUCCUGUCCUUCCUCGGUUUCCUCCACUGUAACAGGAGGGAUUGGAUUUCUAUCAGCCGAAGAGGCCCCUUCCUGCUCCUCUCGAAGACUCCAUCCACCAAGUACUUCCAAAGCGCGUUCCACUGACUCCCCCUCGGGAAUGGGGAGUCUUUCAGUUGAGACAAUCAACUCCACUUGGCAGAUGAAGAAAUUGAAGUGCAGAGCAGGAAAAUGACUUGCCCAGGGUCACUCUGGGGUGAGCCUCAGUUGAGGACGCGCGGGGUCCGGAGACGGGGGGCGGGGUCUGCCCGAACCCCCGCCCCCAACCAACUCCGCCCCCCACCUUCCAGGACAACAGGUGUCUGAGAACCGGGCUUGGAGGGGGGGCGCAUGCUCCGCGGGGGAGGGGUGGAGAGACCCCGGGCUGUCACCGCCUCCUAGCGCGCGGCCCCAAGGGCCCAGGCCUCGCUGUCAGCGCGCCCCGCCCCCCCGCCUCCGGCUCCGCCCCCCUGCUCCGGCCCCAACUCCAGCAGAAGCCAGAGUCGGAGCCCGGACCCCAAGCAGGCAGCGGCGGCGGCACGCGGGACUGGGCACCGAUGGAAACCUCCUCCCUCCGGGGCUCGGUUCAGCUCCUCUGGGAGGGCCUCCUCCGGUCAGAAAUCUGAGUGAGAAGGGAAGGCUCUCUGUGGAUGGAGCUAAGGAGCAAGAAUUUUGCCUGAGGCCAGCUCUCGAGUGUCUGCAGCUUCUUCUAUUUGCUGUUCUUCUCUGUGCCAUCUCCCCACAUGCACCCAUGGUCUGUGCUCUUCAGCCUGCUGGUAUUUAUGUUUAGCUGCUCUCAGGGGUAGGUCUUUAGUGGUCUUAGUCAGCUGCCAAGGACCUAGAGGUGCCCCUCACUCUCUCUAGAGGUGUCCCUCGCUCACUCACUGAUUCUAGCACACACUGGCUCUGACUCUAGCUCUGUAGGUGGGCUGGUGGGUGGAUCAGAUCAUAUUUUGGUGGAAGCUUUUUCACCCCCUUAUGGUGUGGAAAUGCCCAGAUCUCAUGUACCUUCAACGCUGCACCCUAUUGUAGAGUCCCUUCAUUCAUAUGAAUUUGGGUUUUUUUUUUUGGCUUUUUGAGGUAGUCUAUAUUGGUAGGUGGUGAGGAGAGAAAGAGUCCUGCGUCUAGGCUGCUGCCAUGUUUGCCUGGAAGUCCAUAUCUGGUGGUAUUGUUAAAGUCAGAAUGGAGAAAUUCCUCAAGUUCAAUUUAUGUAAUUUACCUCAUUAUGAUAGAUGAGGAAACAAAACUGUAGAGGGUAGAAAUGACUUGGCCAAGAUGAUCCAACUAGCAAGUAACAGCUAAGUGGAGUAUUGUUCAUCCUUGGUUUCAGAGAAGACCAAUGACAUCAUGGGAUGAUCUCUUGCCAAGAUGAGUCCCCUUGUGCAGACAAAGACUGCAGUCUGAUUGUGAAGAGCCUGGACAAACACCCAUAUCCCUGAAAGGAUACUCAGAAUGCUCAUCACCUCAGCACAGUCAAGAGCCUCCUGAAAUAUUUCCAGAACAUGUAUUCAAGGGAAAAAAUGGUCAUUCAGUAUGGGUAUCAGGUCUGUGCUGCUACUGAGAGAGAAUGUUUUUUCUUGUCUUUCUUCCCUUCUUCCUUUCUUAUGAAAGACAGGCAUAUCUGACUAUAUUUGCCCUAAGGAUAGGGUCUCCAAGAUAGUACUGAUAGAUAUUAAAAGAACUUACAUUUGGGGGCAGUUCGGUAGCGCAGUGGACAGAAUACUAGGGUCUGGAGUCAGAGGACCCUGGGUUCAAAUGUGACCUCAGACACUUCUUUAAAUGCCUGACAG
This 2442-nucleotide long non-coding RNA is filed under the name Monodelphis domestica (gray short-tailed opossum). RNAcentral's name for it is "lncRNA (ENSMODG00000031939.2)". Lineage: Eukaryota; Metazoa; Chordata; Mammalia; Didelphimorphia; Didelphidae. The record is from RNAcentral.